AUUCAUCAGUAGUGAAAAUUGAAAAAUUUCUUCAAUGAUUCAUAACAUUUUAACUAGAAAAUAAGCAUACUCGGAUUAGAUAACUUUUCGGUUUUUGAUGUUUUCCCGUACAAGUCCAGUUAAAAACCAAAAAAGUCACAACUCAGCACA
Caenorhabditis elegans is the source of this 150-nucleotide non-coding RNA. The record is from Ensembl. Lineage: Eukaryota; Metazoa; Nematoda; Chromadorea; Rhabditida; Rhabditidae.